Molecule: ribosomal RNA, 463 nt
Filed under: uncultured bacterium
Lineage: Bacteria
Description: bacterial SSU rRNA
Rfam family: Bacterial small subunit ribosomal RNA
Source: RNAcentral
CCAGACUCCUACGGGAGGCAGCAGUGAGGAAUAUUGGUCAAUGGCCGGAAGGCUGAACCAGCCAAGCCGCGUGAAGGAAGAAGGCGCCAAGCGUCGUAAACUUCUUUUGUCGGGGAACAAAGGGCGCCACGUGUGGCGUUGUGAGUGUACCCGAAGAAAAAGCAUCGGCUAACUCCGUGCCAGCAGCCGCGGUAAUACGGAGGAUGCGAGCGUUAUCCGGAUUUAUUGGGUUUAAAGGGUGCGUAGGCGGGAUGCCAAGUCAGCGGUAAAAAUGCGGUGCUCAACGCCGUCGAGCCGUUGAAACUGGCGUUCUUGAGUGGGCGAGAAGUAUGCGGAAUGCGUGGUGUAGCGGUGAAAUGCAUAGAUAUCACGCAGAACUCCGAUUGCGAAGGCAGCAUACCGGCGCCCUACUGACGCUGAGGCACGAAAGCGUGGGUAUCGAACAGGAUUAGAUACCCGAGUA